Molecule: long non-coding RNA, 666 nt
Organism: Quercus robur (English oak)
Lineage: Eukaryota; Viridiplantae; Streptophyta; Magnoliopsida; Fagales; Fagaceae
Exons: 3
Source: RefSeq, a predicted model, not a curated record
GCUGCAUUUGGUUGUAAGGUCCCUCUAAUCUUGAGGCAGCAGCACAUUUGUUCUUUUCUAAUCAGUGGGGUCCAAAUACAGUCCCACAAACAUGAGUAGGAGAGAAUAUUGGAUAGAAGUUGGAAUCUAAUGGCAUCUUUAACAACUUCAGGUAUUUGACAUUUAAUGAAGAAACCAACACCAAUAAUCUUGUUUCGAUAUAUCUUGGAGAAUUUAUCAGGCAUUGGACUUUUUAGGUUUCACGAACUUAAAAUUCAGUCCCUAUUCAAAACUUUCAGGCCUUGCAAUUGUGCAGCAUGUCCCAGAAUUGCAAGUGAAUUAUCAGAAUCUGCUGACAACAAUUUCUUAGUCAUUUGACAUCUUAUGUAGAACUGAGUCAUAGAACAAGCUUAGGUGCAAAAUUCAGACCCUAUUCAAAAACUGCAAUUGUGCAACAGGUCAAGAACUCAGUGAAUCAUAGCAAAUUUCUUAGAACUUUGAAGGGAGGACUUGACUAGGCAACUAACACUGCAGGAAUUAGCUUACUAAACUGGUAUUUGGAACAAAUUAAGGACAAACUUGGCUUACCUUGUUCAAAACUUUAUGGCCCAGAAAUUAAGGCAAGUACAGUCUUCUACUCAAUGGUAAUCAUCUUUAUUUAUUAAAAAAAAUAUAUAUUCCCUUUAC